This 781-nucleotide ribosomal RNA is filed under the name Triticum aestivum (bread wheat). Its description in RNAcentral is "partial small subunit ribosomal RNA". The record is from RNAcentral. Lineage: Eukaryota; Viridiplantae; Streptophyta; Magnoliopsida; Poales; Poaceae.
CUCUCUCUCUCCGGGUUCUCCCCGACCCUCCGGGUUGGGUGGAGGGGAGUAGAGGGUCGAUCGCGAUGUCCUCUGCUCCUCCCGCACCGCCGGUAGGGCGCCGGUACCGGCAAGGGGGGUCGGUGUACGCCGGUAGGGCGCACGGGGCCGCCACCUAUUCCGGUGGGGAGCGGAGUGCCUGUUUAGGAUCUAUGCGUAGGGGGGAGCGAGAGAGGGAGCAGCUAGGGCGGGCGUUGGCGUCGGCGGCAGCGGUACUGGGGGCGGCAAGGGCACGAGGGGCAGCAGCGGCGCGACCCAAUCGCACAGGUCCUCGUGAGGCGGAAGCGUAAGUAGCGGCCUCGGUGGUCUAGCUCGGGCCCUUCGACGGGGUAUCUGCAGCACAGAAGAAGGAGACGGUGCCGCCGGUGCUUCUAGGCGAGCUAAGUGAGCGGGAGCUGGAAGAAGCCGAAGUGGCUCGACGAGCAGUUGCGAUGGAGCUCUGAUGGCCGCUGGGGUCAAGCUGAUUCCACAACUGCUGGGGAGGAGCUGAUUCGAAUGUCCUCGGUCUCCUAGGGCUCCUACAAAGAUGCACCUCAAGCCGAAGCUCCUCAUCAAUCCUCCAGGGUCCGUCCUCCGGAACGGAAAAGCUAGCAAAGAUGAAAACACGAUCGGAAGAAUUCCGUUUUGAACAAAUUGAAUAUAGACAUGAGUCUAUAAUAACGAAGACGACUGAGAACACAAAAGCUCCAAUACAUAAGCUCGGGAGCUCCGGGGACCGAACAUUAUAUUUCGAACAUAAUAA